This 468-nucleotide ribosomal RNA is filed under the name uncultured bacterium. Its description in RNAcentral is "partial 16S ribosomal RNA". It matches the Rfam family "Bacterial small subunit ribosomal RNA", at positions 28 to 507 of the family's 1533-position model. The record is from RNAcentral.
GACGAACGCUGGCGGCGUGCUUAACACAUGCAAGUCGAACGGAAAGGCCCUGCUUUUGUGGGGUGCUCGAGUGGCGAACGGGUGAGUAACACGUGAGUAACCUGCCCUUGACUUCGGGAUAACUUCAGGAAACUGGGGCUAAUACCGGAUAGGAGCUCCUGCUGCAUGGUGGGGGUUGGAAAGUUUCGGCGGUUGGGGAUGGACUCGCGGCUUAUCCGCUUGUUGGUGGGGUAGUGGCUUACCAAGGCUUUGACGGGUAGCCGGCCUGAGAGGGUGACCGGCCACAUUGGGACUGAGAUACGGCCCAGACUCCUACGGGAGGCAGCAGUGGGGAAUAUUGCACAAUGGGCGGAAGCCUGAUGCAGCAACGCCGCGUGCGGGAUGACGGCCUUCGGGUUGUAAACCGCUUUCGCCUGUGACGAAGCGUGAGUGACGGUAAUGGGUAAAGAAGCACCGGCUAACUACGUG